Molecule: RNA transcript, 5017 nt
Organism: Cephus cinctus (wheat stem sawfly)
Lineage: Eukaryota; Metazoa; Arthropoda; Insecta; Hymenoptera; Cephidae
Gene name: DDB1- and CUL4-associated factor 6
Exons: 16
Source: RefSeq, a predicted model, not a curated record
CCAUUGUGUACAUUCGCUCAGCUGUUCUCAGGCAGCUCCUAUCGUGACUCGCAGAUCCGCCGAGAUUUUUCGUAGUUUUCCCGUUUAUUUUUAGUACAUUGCGAUGGUGCGUGUGAUCUCCAUGAAUUUUCGCAACACAGCAAAAUGUCGUGCGUCCUCUGAUUCGGCAUAAUAUUCGUCGGUCACGCUGCUCUUGGGUAGCAGUCACUUAUCCUUGCUCUCAGUUUUUCUCAACUCUUGGUGUUCGAAAAUAUUCGACACCUCUUGUAUCUGGCUUUUAUGCCUUUUGUGUUUUGAUUCCUGAUAUUUUACAAGACUUCACAUUGUCAAUAAUGAGGAGCGACAGAUCAAGUGUUUUUCGCGACAUUUACAAUCAGCCCUAUGAUGAUUACACCAGAGUUAAGCUCUAUUCCAGCACAAAAGCAAGUCUGCAGCUCAUGCAGAGAAUGGCAUUACUGAAAAGAUUAAAAGUUCACAAUGGCUGUGUGAACUCUAUUUGCUGGAAUAAUAGUGGGGAUUUAAUCUUGUCUGGUAGUGAUGAUCAACAUCUCGUACUGACCAAUGCUUACAACUAUCAGCACAUGCAUCUUUCAUUGCAGGUGUUAACGGACUACAAGACUAGCCAUAGAGCAAACAUAUUCAGUGCCAAAUUUUUACCCAACAGUGGAGAUCAUCGUAUCGUAUCAUGUAGCGGAGACGGUAUCAUUCUUUACACUGAUCUAAUGAGAAGGGCCGAGACCUUCCACAAUCAAUUUACAUGUCACAGCGGAACCACUUACGAAAUAGCUACUAUACCUGGCGAGCCUCAUAGUUUCUUAAGCUGUGGCGAGGAUGGUACUGUGCGAUGGUUCGACCUUAGAGUAAAGGACAAGUGCAGCGCUACGAGAUGCAGAGAGGAUGUAUUGAUCUCAUGCCAAAGAGCCGUGACCGCCCUCUCCGUUAACCCUAUAAUGCCUCAUCAAGUAGCAAUUGGAUGUUCGGAUAGCACAGUAAGAACAUUUGACAGGCGGAUGCUUGGGACACCAGCUACGGGCUGGAUCGAUAACGGAGGAGCGGUGAAACCACUUUGCAGUUUCACGGUACCGGAAUUCGAGGGAAAUUUUUACAGAAUUACUUCACUUAGCUAUAGCCCGGAUGGCCAGGAUGUUCUUGUCAGUUACAGUAGCGAUCAUCUGUACUUAUUCAGUGUCAAGGAUCAAGGUAGCGUACAUCUUAGAAAGGAUUCCGUGGCGGGUAAAGGUAAAGGUAAGAAGCAUCCUUUGAGAUCACCGCAGCCUGUUCGUCGUUUGAGAUUGAGAGGUGACUGGUCUGACACGGGUCCUGAUGCUCGUCCGGAGCGCGAGGGUGGUCGUCGAGGCGGGACAGAAAUAGCACAGGCACGUCCGGUCCUCCACACAUCUCUGAUGCAGCGGAUGACAGACGUAUUGAGCAGAAUGCUGAACGACCCAGCAACACGUGCGGCGCUCUCAGGAGGCGGCGAAGACAGUCUGGAAGGAGUGGGCGAUCAGCAAGAAGACGCUGAUCAGAGUGCUAACGAGAACAAUGCAGAACCGGUCGAAGAAAGAAGCAACGAGCAGGAGAAUGCUGAGAGAGAAUCCGAAGAGAGAGAAUCUACUGAGAAUGCGGCGCCUAAUGAUGCACCUAGCGUAGUAAAUCCAAGUACAGAUGAUUUAAAUGACGUGGUGGAAGCAGCCUUUGAGAAUUUACUAGAUGCCAGUCGUGAACAUCCUGAACUACUUGAAGAACCAUCUUCUUCCGGUUCUACAACUAGUGAUAAUAGAUCCUCGGAUAGGCUUAGAACCGAGCCGGAAGUUCCUAUGGAUACCCAAUCUAGUCAUCCGGAAGUACCCAAAAGUUCUAUUCAAUCUCUUAGAUCUCUGAGUAUAUCUCGUUCUGACAGCGAAGGUGAACGAGUUAGUCGCAGUGAGGGUGAGCCCUCGAGUUCAAAUCUAGAGCGAAAUCGAGAUGGAAAUAUGAUGGAGAAUCUACACAAUAGACUCACAACCAUGAGGGAUGGUUUUCUUGAGAGACAUGGCAGUGAGCCUGCCGUUAGCUUAACGUAUUCGGAUAAAAGUUCAACUGGCGCUACAAUCUCCUUAGGCGUUGCUGAUGAAUUCACACGUGAUAGCUAUCACCCAGGUCCGUCCGGUAGUCAAAGUCAUCAAAGUGCUGGGAUGUCCGAUGCAGGUCCAAGUAAUAACAGCAGUCGUCAUGAAGAAUCUGCGCAUCUAAAAUCAGAUGAUGACACGUAUAAUGAUAGCGAUGACGAAGAUAUGGAGUCAGAUAGAAGACUGGUAAAUCCUAUUGAAACGGAAAUGGACGAGGCCAUAGCCAAUGCGCGCGCAUCUCAAGGCCAUGAGACGUUCGACGAGACUUACUUAACCGAAUUACGCGUCAAGCAGAAAUACAUGGGACAUCGUAAUGCCAGUUUCUUUAGGACAAUGAUCAAAGAGGCCAACUUCUGGGGCAACGAUUACGUCAUGUCCGGCAGCGACUGCGGACACGUUUUUUUCUGGGAGCGCGAGACCGCCAGGCUCUGUAUGCUUCUCGAAGCUGAUCAGCACGUUGUCAAUUGUCUCCAGCCACAUCCCUUCCUGCCGAUGCUAGCAACUUCCGGAAUUGAUUAUGACGUUAAACUAUGGGCGCCCAUCAACGAGGAAUCAAGUUUCGAUGACAAAUUCGCUGAAGAUCUCCAGAAGAGGAAUGCCGUCAUGCUGGAAGAGACCAAAGACACCAUCACUGUACCUGCCGUCUUUAUGAUCAGGAUGCUGGCUUGUCUCAAUCAGAUACGCAGAGUAAGCAACCUUCUAUCCUGUCAUCCAGUCAUCGGAUCGUGCAAUACUUCUCGUGUGCAUGUUGUUCAAAAGUCAUUGUCUAAAUAUGAAAAAGCAUAUACUGUACCUAAGGGAUGAAAACAAAAACAUCCUAGUUAAACUUAGUUCCGGCGCAAAUCGACCACGAAAUUUUGACUGUGCUGGAAACGAUGUGUCAGGAAGUAUAAACGAAGCCACUAACUAAUUGAUCGAUCGAUGUUUUCACAAACUUUUGCAUGUGGAUGUCCUUAUUGUGAUUAACAAUAAGAAAGAUAUACGUGAAAAUUUCUCAAAUUGAAAUUAUGUCUUUCUCUUACGUAAUACAAAGUGGACUUUCAUGAAAAUCAAGAGGUCAUGCGAAUCGAGAGAUCGAAUGAUUCCCAUGUGUCUGAAAUCCCAUAGUGGCUUCCGCUUGGCCUUAGACCAACGUUGGAGCCCGAAAAAGACGCGGACGUAACAGGAGAAGAAGCGGCGAUGAGACUGACGAUUUGCGAGGAGGUUAAAUUGCUAUUGACAUCCGUGCCGCAAGAUAUAGCUUACAAUUAGAUAAUCAUCCUGACGGCUGUUCCACGAAGGAAGCAAGAUUAGAAGAAGAUUAGCUUGUGAAAUAUUGAAAGGAUAAUCUAUCGAGAUGAAGGAAUAUUAAAGUAUGGUCGACUAGGUAGAGUAUCUGUACCAAUGACAGAUAGAUACUGAAAAAAAUGAAGUAACUUCGAUCGAAGCUUCAUCAUGCUCGAUUAUGAUUGGCGUGAAUAAUUUAAUUUUCAUAUUUUCUAUUCGAACUGGAAGUCACUCAAGUUAUCCUAAUGGAUUUCAUAGUAAAGGUUAUGUUGCGUAUUGGAUGAAAAAAUCGUUUUUCUUGAGACUCGACCAAAGUUUAGAUAUAGAUAUCGAAUGCGUUAGAUAAAAAUUACGUAGAUCAGAUUAGGCCAAUUGUUAAUGAAAUAUUUAAAAAGGAAACGAGGACGUGUCAGAUACAUUUGGAUUUUCUUGUAGUCGUGAUUUAACGUACGUCCACCGGUGUGAAUCAAUGAACGUUAAAUUCUCAUUGACCUUUUUUUCUGGGGUUUGUUUUACUCGUUUCCGUACUAUCAAUUUUUCGGGACUUGAUAAACGAAAUUAUGAAAACUUAUAAACCUUUGUUCACAACGGUUGCUUUGGGUAUGAUCGAUUCUUAUUAAGAAUCUCGUUGGUAGUCUCUCUUUUUGUUUUUUUGCAAAUUCUGAUCAAACUGUAAUACCGACAGGAGAUAGGUUUUUGGAGUAAUAGUUACUAGAACGGCGAAGGAAUAAACUAUGUAGAUAUUAUUUGAUACGAAGCCAUGGCUGAGUUUAGGGCGUCUCAGUUAGUCAAUGAGUGCAAGUAUAAUGCAUUAAUAAGAUAAUAAGGGAGACCAUAAUGGGUCUGCGCUUCCGAAACCGCUAUGAGAAUUUUGCACUGUUGCAAGUAUUUGUAUUUGUUUUUUUUCUCGUUUUUUUUUUCUUCUUUAGCGAUAAGAACAAAGACUAGUACUUUGCGCAAUUAUAAACUUUUUCUUGCAUUUCACGGUCGUUCCUAAGCAUAUCUCGGACUGUUUGAUGAAUUUCGACGUCUUCAAUUUCGACUAAUGUUUUUUUUUGGUUCUUUUUAUAUCACUAAAUUGUCCCUUUUAUUCGAGUGAAGUAAAGCGAGUGAUGACGUUACGGUUGUGAGUGACGCGUUGCGUAUCCUCCAGAGGUGGCCGUGGUAUUUUUUUUUUUUUUUAAGGGGAGAAAAGUCAAUAUCAAAACGUUAAGGAAAAUGAAUAAACGAGGGAAAGUGAGGAAGGACAUACAAAAAAAAUAAGAUAAACAUGAGCCGUGUGCCUUAACGCAAUAAUAUUCCUGAUGGUUCUGUGUCGAGUGACGUAAUGCAAAAGUUGCCUAGAGAACUGGAAGCAAGAGAGUAAAACAUCUCGCGCUCUCUGUUCCUCCUUAUUUUUCAAUAAAACUAAGGGAGAAGGGAUGUACCGCUCCUCUGGAGGGUUCACUGAUAAUACAAAAUAUCACUAGAAUUUAAGCCAUUAUACAUAUAAUAGAGCAAUUCUAGGUGUCCUGGAUGAACCUAUACCAGCGAUCCUUUGUGCCGUGACGCUUUUCGAUUGUAUAUUUAAUACUGAAUAUGUUUACAGAAUAGUAUUAUAUUGUAGAAAUUUUGUUUAUAAUAAAAUGCUUCAAAGAACGUAA